GAUGAAGAACGCAGCGAAAUGCGAUACUUGGUGUGAAUUGCAGAAUCCCGUGAACCAUCGAGUCUUUGAACGCAAGUUGCGCCCGAAGCCAUUAGGCCGAGGGCACGCCUGCCUGGGCGUCACACGUCGUUGCCCCCCCAUCUACUCCUUCGGGAUUGCGGGGGGCGGAUGAUGACCUCCCGUGCGCCUCGUCGCGCGGUUGGCAUAAAUGCCAAGUCCUCGGCGACGCACGCCACGACAAUCGGUGGUUGCGAAACCUCGGUUGCCCGUCGUGUGCGGUCGUCGCGCAUCGAGGGCUCGAAAAAAUUGCCGGGCUCCGGCUCGGCUUUCAACGCGACCCCAGGUCAGGCGGGGUUACCCGCUGAAUUUAAGCAUAUCAAUAAGCGGAGGA
RNAcentral lists this unclassified non-coding RNA (391 nucleotides) under soil metagenome. Its description in RNAcentral is "partial contains 5.8S ribosomal RNA, internal transcribed spacer 2, and large subunit ribosomal RNA". The stretch from base 1 to 122 matches the Rfam family "5.8S ribosomal RNA", at positions 35 to 154 of the family's 154-position model. The record is from RNAcentral.